This 77-nucleotide transfer RNA is filed under the name Pseudomonas putida. RNAcentral describes it as "tRNA-Met". It matches the Rfam family "tRNA". From Rfam's summary of the family: Transfer RNA (tRNA) molecules are approximately 80 nucleotides in length. Their secondary structure includes four short double-helical elements and three loops (D, anti-codon, and T loops). The record is from RNAcentral. Lineage: Bacteria; Pseudomonadati; Pseudomonadota; Gammaproteobacteria; Pseudomonadales; Pseudomonadaceae.
CGCGGGAUGGAGCAGCCUGGUAGCUCGUCGGGCUCAUAACCCGAAGGUCGCCGGUUCAAAUCCGGCUCCCGCAACCA